Molecule: ribosomal RNA, 24 nt
Filed under: Trichoderma asperellum
Lineage: Eukaryota; Fungi; Ascomycota; Sordariomycetes; Hypocreales; Hypocreaceae
Description: partial 18S ribosomal RNA
Source: RNAcentral
CCUCUGGAGCGGAGGAUCAUUCCG